Molecule: Y RNA, 101 nt
Filed under: Prolemur simus (greater bamboo lemur)
Lineage: Eukaryota; Metazoa; Chordata; Mammalia; Primates; Lemuridae
Description: Y RNA (ENSPSMG00000006308.1)
Rfam family: Y RNA
About the family: Y RNAs are components of the Ro ribonucleoprotein particle (Ro RNP), in association with Ro60 and La proteins. The Y RNAs and Ro60 and La proteins are well conserved, but the function of the Ro RNP is not known.
Source: Rfam by way of RNAcentral
GGAUGGUCUGAGUGCAGUGACGUUUAGAACUAAUUGGUCACAACCAGUUACAGAUUUUUUGCUUCUUCUCCACUCCCACUGCUUCAUUUGAGUAGCUUAAA